AUUGAACGCUGGCGGCAGGCCUAACACAUGCAAGUCGAACGGUAACAGAAAGCAGCUUGCUGCUUUGCUGACGAGUGGCGGACGGGUGAGUAAUGUCUGGGAAACUGCCUGAUGGAGGGGGAUAACUACUGGAAACGGUAGCUAAUACCGCAUAACGUCGCAAGACCAAAGAGGGGGACCUUCGGGCCUCUUGCCAUCGGAUGUGCCCAGAUGGGUUUAGCUAGUAGGUGGGGUAACGGCUCACCUAGGCGACGAUCCCUAGCUGGUCUGAGAGGAUGACCAGCCACACUGGAACUGAGACACGGUCCAGCCUCCUACGGGAGGCAGCAGUGGGGAAUAUUGCACAAUGGGCGCAAGCCUGAUGCAGCCAUGCCGCGGGUAUGAAGAAGGCCUUCGGGUUGUAAAGUACUUUCAGCGGGGAGGAAGGGAGUAAAGUUAAUACCUUUGCUCAUUGACGUUACCCGCAGAAGAAGCACCGGCUAACUCCGUG
Molecule: ribosomal RNA, 490 nt
Filed under: uncultured bacterium
Lineage: Bacteria
Description: partial 16S ribosomal RNA
Rfam family: Bacterial small subunit ribosomal RNA
Source: RNAcentral